This 604-nucleotide ribosomal RNA is filed under the name Eulimnogammarus verrucosus. RNAcentral's name for it is "SSU rRNA". It matches the Rfam family "Eukaryotic small subunit ribosomal RNA", at positions 28 to 548 of the family's 1831-position model. Lineage: Eukaryota; Metazoa; Arthropoda; Malacostraca; Amphipoda; Eulimnogammaridae. The record is from RNAcentral.
AUGCUUGUCUCAAAGAUUAAGCCAUGCAUGUCUAAGUCCAAGCUGUGUUCACACGGCGAGACCGCGGACGGCUCAUUAAAUCAGUCGUGGUCCAAAUGGGCCAGUGCAAAUCCUACUUGGAUAACUGUGGUAAUUCCAGAGCUAAUACAUGCAACUGAUAUCCCGAAGGCGGUGUUUGGGCUUGCUUGCCUUGCGCUGCGCUGCUCUGACGGAUGCUUUUAUUAGACCAAGCCGCUGAGGACUUGAGGGUUCGCGCUCUCUUGUCUGACUCGUGUGAUGGUGACUCUGGAUAACCAAAUUCUGACAAGCGCACGUACUUCUCUUCUGAGCGAGACGGCGCUGCCACUUUCGAGUGUCUGCCUUAUCAGCUAUCAACCGUUCGUUAUGCGCGACCGAUGGCUUUGACGGGUAACGGGGAAUCAGGGUUCGAUUCCGGAGAGGCAGCCUGAGAGACGGCUACCACGUCCAAGGACGGCAGCAGGCACGCAAAUUACCCAAUCCCAGCAAAUGGGGGAGGUAGUGACGAAAUCUAACGAUGCGGGCGCCCUUUCUGGGGCCCCGCAAUCGGAAUGGGCACUUUCUAAACAACCUGUUGAGAACCUAC